Cololabis saira (Pacific saury) is the source of this 159-nucleotide long non-coding RNA. RefSeq lists it as uncharacterized. The transcript is spliced from 5 exons. The record is from RefSeq and is a predicted model, not a curated record. NCBI's taxonomy places the organism in Eukaryota, Metazoa, Chordata, Actinopteri, Beloniformes, Belonidae.
CACAUCUUCAGUUUCUUCUCAGCUGCAGGACAUUUGUACUAAAGUUUUUGUUGCAGCUAUGGGAGGUGGCUCUUCAAAACGUCCGAAAACCCCAACACCUUCCCCACUCUUUGCAGCUCUGGGAAAUACCCUUUCAAAACCUCGGACCCCACCACCUUC